CCUACGGGUGGCAGCAGUGGGGAAUAUUGGACAAUGGGCGAAAGCCUGAUCCAGCCAUGCCGCGUGUGUGAAGAAGGCCUUCGGGUUGUAAAGCACUUUCAGUGGGGAAGAAAGCCUUGGGGCUAAUACCCUCGAGGAAGGACAUCACCCACAGAAGAAGCACCGGCUAACUCCGUGCCAGCAGCCGCGGUAAUACGGAGGGUGCGAGCGUUAAUCGGAAUUACUGGGCGUAAAGCGCGCGUAGGCGGUCUGAUAAGCCGGUUGUGAAAGCCCCGGGCUCAACCUGGGAACGGCAUCCGGAACUGUCAGGCUAGAGUGCAGGAGAGGAAGGUAGAAUUCCCGGUGUAGCGGUGAAAUGCGUAGAGUUCGGGAGGAAUACCAGUGGCGAAGGCGGCCUUCUGGACUGACACUGACGCUGAGGCGCGAAAGCGUGGGUAGCAAACAGGAUUAGAUACCCCGGUAGUC
RNAcentral lists this ribosomal RNA (465 nucleotides) under Vreelandella stevensii. Its description in RNAcentral is "partial 16S ribosomal RNA". It matches the Rfam family "Bacterial small subunit ribosomal RNA", at positions 338 to 795 of the family's 1533-position model. Lineage: Bacteria; Pseudomonadati; Pseudomonadota; Gammaproteobacteria; Oceanospirillales; Halomonadaceae. The record is from RNAcentral.